This is a long non-coding RNA of Centropristis striata (black sea bass), 1690 nucleotides long. RefSeq lists it as uncharacterized. The record is from RefSeq and is a predicted model, not a curated record. The transcript is spliced from 2 exons. NCBI's taxonomy places the organism in Eukaryota, Metazoa, Chordata, Actinopteri, Perciformes, Serranidae.
GACAUUUUGCUAUAUUUUCUUUAGUCUGAUAGUUUGCCCUUUUUUCAGAAUCAGAAACACUUUAUUGAUCUCCUGUAUUGUUUUUUAUUCUAUCCUUAUCCAAUGUGAUACGUAGUUUAUUUUUUCAUAUUUUCCUUUCUUUUCUGUUGUGAUAUUUUGUUGUGUUUGCUAUUAUAUUGUUAUAUUUUUCUGUAUUUUCUAUUCUAUUGUGAGAUUUUGCUUUAUUUCUUCGAAUCUAUUGUGAGAUUUUGCUUUAUUUGUCCUAUCCUGAUCAUUUAUUUUAUUUAUUACAUUCUAAUAUUUUGCUGUAUUUUCGACUCUAUUCCAACAUUUUGCCUUAAAUUCUUCCAUUCAGAUACUUUUCUGUAUUUUCUGUUAUAUUGUGAUAUAUUGCUUCAUUUUUUUUACUUUCUAACUUUUUUGCUUUAUUUUUUAUUCAAUCGCAAAAUGUUGCUUCUUUUUUUUAUUGCGAUGUGUUCCUUCAAUGUCCUCUGUUGUGACGUUUUGCUUUGUUUUCUAUUCUACUCUGAUAUUUUGAUUUAUUCAUUCUAUUGUGACAUUCUGCAUUUUAUUCCAUUCCGUUCUGUUCUACUGUGUUCUGUUGUGUUCUACUGCACUGGGUUCUGUUCUGUUCUGUAUUGUUCUCGAGGUCAUGCUCCACUUUAGUGCUGCUGGUGGUGACGCUCGUGUGGCUUCAGUCAGCUGUUUCAUGUAGACAAGACAAGCCGACAAUAAUACCGGAAAAUGGGCGAUUAUCUUAUCAAAAUAAAAUAAAUCACCUGAUGCUUUGUCCUGAAGGACCUAUUAUUUUUCCGAAUAGUAACUAAAACUUUUUAUGUGAGGUAUUUUGGAGUCAUAUAAAAUCUUUUAUUCAGAUUUCUACUCGUUUAAGCACUUUCUUUUACUACAAUAUAUUGUAAUUGAUGUUAGAAUAGAACCGUUUUAUUUUUAAGGGAUUGACCGGAAGAGAUUUUCGUGAUUUACACUAACUUGACGCCAAACAGCAAUGUCCGACUUUUAACCUGACAGGAACGAGCCUGGCGGCUUCUCCUAAACUACAUAUUUCCCUACUCCAGCAACAGCAGGGCGGAUGUUCAUCAUCAUCUGCAUCAUCUCGGUAACAUCUGACAGCCGCCGUGCAGUGGGGCCAAUAAGCGGCGGAUGCGGCUGGCGCCCGGCCGCGGGCGGCCCUCUCAAUGGUCUCUCCCACCAUGAAAGCGUUGGUGGAUGCUGUGUGGGCGGUGUGGAGCAUCGGGGCCUCCAUCUAUGACUACAUCCACACCAACGCCAUGGAGGAGCGCAUCCACGCCCUGGAGAACGUCAUCACCAUCCACCAGUGUGUGAUUGGACUCCUGUCCGCAGGCGUGUUGGUACUCUUCACCUACAUCCUCUUCAAGAAGCUCUGAAGAUGUGACGGGCCGGGUGGCAACAUGGGGGAGGCGGACCGACCAGAAUCAGACAUUAGUGCAAAACACUGACCUGACAGAUGAAGAGGCUAUUUUUACACAUCAAGUCCAUCAGACAGGCUCAUAAGAGCUUUUUUACUUUUUUAACAUCAGUCUGUUUGGAGAAAACACACAGAGGUUCAUGUCCUCUCUCAGUAAUGUACAACUACAGCAGGUGAGCAUGUGGUCGCCACAGGCUCCAGCUGUUAUUCAGAGGCCUGUAUAGAUUCUUUUUUGUACUGACA